GUGAGGAAUAUUGCGCAAUGGAGGCAACUCUGACGCAGCCAUGCCGCGUGCAGGAAGAAGGCGCUACGCGUUGUAAACUGCUUUUAACCGGGAAGAAACCCCAGGACGUGUCCUGGGUUGACGGUACCGGAGGAAUAAGCACCGGCUAACUUCGUGCCAGCAGCCGCGGUAAUACGAAGGGUGCAAGCGUUAUCCGGAUUCAUUGGGUUUAAAGGGUGCGUAGGCGGAGCGUUAAGUCAGUGGUGAAAUCCUGCAGCUUAACUGUAGACUUGCCAUUGAUACUGGCGCUCUUGAGUGCGCUUGAAGUGGGCGGAAUGUGCCGUGUAGCGGUGAAAUGCUUAGAUAUGGCACAGAACACCAAUUGCGAAGGCAGCUCACUAAGGCGAUACUGACGCUGAGGCACGAGAGCGUGGGGAUCGAACAGGAUUAGAUACCCGGGUAGUCC
RNAcentral lists this ribosomal RNA (445 nucleotides) under uncultured bacterium. RNAcentral's name for it is "partial 16S ribosomal RNA". It matches the Rfam family "Bacterial small subunit ribosomal RNA", at positions 354 to 796 of the family's 1533-position model. The record is from RNAcentral.